GUCAAAAAGUGGAACACUGAGAUAAUUGACAAAUAAGACAUGGUACUUAAGGAGAAUCAGAGAAGACUAUCAGGAUGAAUUCUGAGCAUCUUCAGCUGGAUUUUCAUGGAUGCAAGGAGCUAAUACUUAUUGACGGCCUACUGUUUGCUGGCUCGGGCUACAUCCUUUAUCUAUUUUGUUUCAUUAAAUCCUCAAAGUAUCUUGUGAGCAUAAUUCUUGCUUCAAAGGAAGUGUCUGGAUGUCAUUCCCUCCUCUUCAGUUUUUUGGAGAAGUUUGAAAAGGAAAGCUUCACAUGUGAGAUAAAUGCACUCAAAGACUCCUCACAAGUAGCUCUUUGGAGCUUCAGAUGUGAAAUGGAUCAUUCCUCAAUCUGUAAUAGACCCUUCUGUGAAGCUCUUCAAUCAAACCUGAGAAUUCAAGGCAUUUUGUAG
RNAcentral lists this long non-coding RNA (431 nucleotides) under Mustela putorius furo (domestic ferret). Its description in RNAcentral is "lncRNA (ENSMPUG00000025973.1)". The record is from RNAcentral. Lineage: Eukaryota; Metazoa; Chordata; Mammalia; Carnivora; Mustelidae.